This 445-nucleotide ribosomal RNA is filed under the name uncultured bacterium. RNAcentral's name for it is "SSU rRNA". It matches the Rfam family "Bacterial small subunit ribosomal RNA", at positions 26 to 518 of the family's 1533-position model. The record is from RNAcentral.
AGAGCGAACGCUGGCGGAAUGCCUAACACAUGCAAGUCGCACGGUCAGCAAUGGCAGUGGCGGACGGGUGAGUAACGCGUAGGAAUAUGUCCAGAGGUGGGGGACAACCCCGGGAAACUGGGGCUAAUACCGCAUAUGAGCUGAGGCUCAAAGCAGUGAUGCGCCUUUGGAGUAGCCUGCGUCCGAUUAGCUUGUUGGUGGGGUAAUGGCCUACCAAGGCGUCGAUCGGUAGCUGGUCUGAGAGGAUGAUCAGCCACACUGGGACUGAGACACGGCCCAGACUCCUACGGGAGGCAGCAGUGGGGAAUAUUGGACAAUGGGCGCAAGCCUAAUCCAGCAAUGCCGCGUGGGUGAAGAAGGUCUUCGGAUUGUAAAGCCCUUUCGGCGGGACGAUGAUGACGGUACCCGCAGAAGAAGCCCCGGCUAACUUCGUGCCAGCAGCCGC